AAGGUCUUAAGUUAAUUAAACUAUGAGACUUCAAAUCUCAUCAUGGAGUCUCUCCAGACCUUG
This 63-nucleotide transfer RNA is filed under the name Notomastus sp. GK-2021. RNAcentral's name for it is "tRNA-Trp". Lineage: Eukaryota; Metazoa; Annelida; Polychaeta; Capitellidae. The record is from RNAcentral.